This 460-nucleotide ribosomal RNA is filed under the name uncultured bacterium. Its description in RNAcentral is "partial 16S ribosomal RNA". It matches the Rfam family "Bacterial small subunit ribosomal RNA", at positions 338 to 795 of the family's 1533-position model. The record is from RNAcentral.
CCUACGGGUGGCAGCAGUGAGGAAUAUUGGUCAAUGGACGAGAGUCUGAACCAGCCAAGUAGCGUGAAGGAUGACUGCCCUAUGGGUUGUAAACUUCUUUUAUAAAGGAAUAAAACGCGGCACGUGUGCCUUUUUGCAUGUACUUUAUGAAUAAGAAUCGGCUAACUCCGUUCCAGCAGCCGCGGUAAUACGGAGGAUCCGAGCGUUAUACGGAUUUAUUGGGUUUAAAGGGAGCGUAGAUGGGUUUUUAAGUCAGUUGUGAAAGUUUGCGGCUCAACCGUAAAAUUGCAAUUGAUAAUGGCAGUCUGGAGUACAGUUGAGGUAGGCGGAAUGCGUGGUGUAGCGGUGAAAUGCGUAGAUAUCACGAAGAACCCCGAUUGCGAAGGCAGCUUACUAAACUGUGACUGACAUUGAUGCUCGAAAGUGUGGGUAGCAAACAGGAUUAGAUACCCUUGUAGUC